Vitis vinifera (wine grape) is the source of this 1247-nucleotide long non-coding RNA. RefSeq lists it as uncharacterized. The record is from RefSeq and is a predicted model, not a curated record. The transcript is spliced from 8 exons. NCBI's taxonomy places the organism in Eukaryota, Viridiplantae, Streptophyta, Magnoliopsida, Vitales, Vitaceae.
UCAAAAGGCCACUCACUUCCUCUGACUCGGCCAUGAAAAAGCCAUUUCUCAAGUUGCCUUCCACAAGAGAGAAUCCCUAAAAAGGCCAUUUUUUCCUCUGCCACUCUCAUUCAAACGCAGGUCCUCCUAAUCAUGGGUUAGCUUUUUAAUUUCUCAAUCACUAGAGGACAAUUUCAAGGGACAAGUCUUGUUAAGGUGGCUGCAUGAACAUCUGGAUGAUACACUACAUGAGAAAAUUAUAUUUGUUCAUCUAGGAAUGGUGUCCAAGGUUGGAACAAUAACCCCACAAAUUGAAAAAAGAGCAAAGUUCAUUGUUGAUCGCCUAAUUGACUCCAAAUUGGCAGAUUUGAUUUUUCUUCCGUAUAACCCAAGGUUUCAUUGGGUUUUGGCUGUAAUUGACCUCAAAUCACAAACAGUCUACUAUUUAGACUCACUAUUACAAUAGCCAUACCAAGAUAUAAAAGAUAUUGUGAACAUGGGGUUUCGAAUUUUUGUAUCUCAAAAGAAGAAAGGAUCUAAAAAAAAGCUCAAGUGGAUAGUUAUUGAGGGACCCAAACAGUUGGAUGGUGUCAUGUGCGGAUAUUUUGUCAUGCGAUACAUGCGAGACAUAAUUGCAAAUAGAAGUCUUCUAACAUCUCAGGUUUAUUUACCUAUGUAUUUUCAUAAGUACAUGAUAACUUAUACAUAUAUUUAAUGUUUCACUUUAACAUAUUUUCUCUUCUCAUAUAUUUUAGUUUGAAGGGAAAAAAACCUAUUCGUGAGCUGAGUUAGAUGAAGUGAAAUCUGAAUGGGUCUCUUUUUUUAGCACUCUUAUCUUAGACCAAGUAUAGUGGGUAUGUGAAUUUUAUAAUUUUUUAAUAAAUUCUCAAACAUAAAUUUUAAUUAAUGUUGCAUCUUUUCUCUUUGCAAGGUAUAGGGUGACAUUUGCAGUUGUUGCAAUUUUGAGAUUUCAAGAUCAUACGUAAGAUCUUAUUGUCAUGCAUAGAUGCUGAAGUUUUGGAUACUUUUAGGUGACAUUUGCAGUAGCUGCAGUUUUUACAGGAGAAGAUCACGCAUAAAUUUUUGUUAUCAUGUACAACUACUUGAUAUUUGGUUAUUUUUGGAAGGUUAGGUGGCAUUUGCAGCAAUUAUAGCACUUUUGAAGGCACAAGAUCAUGCAUACAUUAUAUUUAUCAUGUAUAACUAUUGGAUUUUUGGGUCCAUAUUUGCCUUUUUUUUUUUUAUGUAUAUGUGAUGAUAAUACAAGA